Molecule: unclassified non-coding RNA, 430 nt
Filed under: Hevea brasiliensis (rubber tree)
Lineage: Eukaryota; Viridiplantae; Streptophyta; Magnoliopsida; Malpighiales; Euphorbiaceae
Source: RNAcentral
GAAAAUUUGUUUUCGUCAGUAAUUACCAACAAAAAAUUUUAUCGGUAAAUAGUCGGUAAUUUAUAAGAGUAAAAUCUCCUACGAAAUUACCUACAAAAAAAUUUAAAUUUACCUACAAAAUAAUUUGUCGGUAAAUUUAGCGACAACAUUUUUUUCGUCGGUAAAAAUUACCUACACUAAUAUUUGUGGACGAAAAAAUUUCGUCGGUAAUUCGUCGGUAAUCACUGAUUACCUACGAAAUUUCAGUAUAUUUGUUCGGUAAUUUUUGUAGCUAUUUUUUUAAUUUCUUGUAGUGUUUAAGACAAAAAAAAGCAUGUUAUGCAUUCAAAAGUUAUUUACUUUUAAAAUUGUACUAUAGCUUUUAAAAUUGUACUAUAACUUUUUAAUAAUGAAUUUUAUUAAGACAAAAUGGUAUAAAUAUGUGUGUGAU